This 234-nucleotide ribosomal RNA is filed under the name uncultured bacterium. RNAcentral's name for it is "partial 16S ribosomal RNA". It matches the Rfam family "Bacterial small subunit ribosomal RNA", at positions 96 to 334 of the family's 1533-position model. The record is from RNAcentral.
UGGCGGACGGGUGAGUAAUGUCUGGGAAACUGCCUGAUGGAGGGGGAUAACUACUGGAAACGGUAGCUAAUACCGCAUAACGUCGCAAGACCAAAGAGGGGACCUUCGGGCCUCUUGCCAUCGGAUGUGCCCAGAUGGGAUUAGCUAGUAGGUGGGGUAACGGCUCACCUAGGCGACGAUCCCUAGCUGGUCUGAGAGGAUGACCAGCCACGCUGGAACUGAGACACGGUCCAG